AUUGAACGCUGGCGGCAGGCCUAACACAUGCAAGUCGAACGAGUGGCGGACGGGUGAGUAAUGUCUGGGAAACUGCCCGAUGGAGGGGGAUAACUACUGGAAACGGUAGCUAAUACCGCAUACCAAUCGGUGGGCCCAGAGGGGAUUAGGUAGUAGGUGGGGGAACGGCUCACCUUGGCGACGAUCCCUAGCUGGUCUGAGAGGAUGACCAGCCACACUGGAACUGAGACACGGUCCAGACUCCUACGGGAGGCAGCAGUGGGGAAUAUUGCACAAUGGGCGCAAGCCUGAUGCAGCCAUGCCGCGUGUAUGAAGAAGGCCUUCGGGUUGUAAAGUACUUUCAGCGAGGAGGCGUUACUCGCAGAAGAAGCACCGGCUAACUCCGUGCCAGCCGCCGCGGUAAUAC
Molecule: ribosomal RNA, 406 nt
Filed under: uncultured bacterium
Lineage: Bacteria
Description: partial 16S ribosomal RNA
Rfam family: Bacterial small subunit ribosomal RNA
Source: RNAcentral